GCGUCUCUGGCAAUCUUCUGGUGACUCGACCGUUUCUCAACCUUCUCCUUCUUCUUCUUCUUCUUCUUCUUCUUCUACUCCCUCUCAGCAUUUCCCGACCCAUUUGCAGUUGCAGAAAUGUCCCAUCUCUAGGAUUUCAGACCCAACCCAGAAACAGAGGAGCAAAGUUAGAGAAAGAGAAGAGAAAAAAUGUUCUACUCCAAGUGUUUGCUUUCCAGGAAAGGGCCUUUGGGCGUUAUAUGGGUCGCUGCUUACUGCCACAAGAGGCUCAAGAAAUCUCAAGUCGUCGAGACUGAUAUCUCUUCGUCUAUUGAGAAAAUUUUGCUAAAAGACUUUCCUGAAGUUGCAUGUAGAGUGCUGGGCUAUCUUCUUCUUGGUGUUGUGAGAAUAUACUCGAAGAAAGUGGAAUAUCUUUUUGAUGACUGCCGGAAGGUGCUUAAUAGAAUUAAUGCUUUUGUGAAUACCAAAAUAGUGAACACACAUAGGGAAGCUUCACAUGCACCUUUCCUUUCUAUCACUCUACCAGCCAGAUUUGAACUUGAUGCUUUUGAUCUGGAGGUUCUGGAAGAUGUGAGCGGCGACCAUGUGAGACCCCUUGAAGAGAUCACGCUUAAAGAAGCAUGGAGAAAUGAGACAGUGGGGCAUUAUUCUCUAGACAUGUGUGUUUUUGAGGAAGAUGUCGCUGAAACUUUUUCUGCUGCUCAUGCUGAAACUUCGUCCGUUGCUCAAACGCCAGCUGAAUAUGUUCUGUCACCUUCGACUGUAAGUCGGUCAAAUAAUCUAAGCAGCCUAGAAGUGAGCUUGGAGAAGCUUCGGGAUGAAAGGUUCCCUCAAGAAGAAUGUCUGGACUUUGGAUUGAUUUGUAUGGUUGAGGAAGAAUGUCAAAACCUAAUUAGUCCAUUUGGCGAAGGACAUCACAUCGAUGGGGGGGAGAUAAAUUGCCCACAAUUGACAUUUUCAGAAAAUGGGGAGUCUCAGCUUAUAAAAGACCAGAUAAAUGUUCUUUCGCAUCAUUUGAUGGAAAAUGAGAUGGUGGGAAGUCCAUCCCAUAAUCUAAGCAAACCAGAAGCAAGCAUAAAGACGCCUGAAGAUUUUAGGUUCUCUCAAGAAGAUUAUUUGGCUCAUGAAAAGGCUGAUGAAGUACCUACAGAUCUUGUUAGAAGUAAAGAGCUUCAUGCUGAUGGAAUUCAGAAAAAGUCUUUUGAGGAGACACCAUUAGAAAAAAGCAGUUGUCUUGUUAUUACAGAACGUGCAGUAUCUGCUACAGUAAAUACUACUCCAGAGUCCAAGUUCUCGACUGUUUCAGGAGUUACAAACCCAGAGUUCAUGGUCAUUCCAACUCCAGCAAAGAAAGAGAGUUCUCACAUUCCAAGGAAAAGAAAAUGUUCAUUUGACGAUUUUACAGUGUUGCCUAACAAGGUACUUAGGGAAAGAAUAUAUAAUCCAAAUGACUUGGUGUGUAAACGAAGGCCAGCUCCUCACACUGCUCUUGAUGCGUGGAAAGCCUGUCAAAUCUCCAAUCUCGCUCAUGGUUUUUCAGAGCCUUUGCUCCCCUAUAGUUCUUUAGAGAUUAGAUCACUCUUUGGGGAGAAGAAAUUAAAGACAUCAAAGACUACAGAACCGGCGGAAAUUGGUGAAGGUCUUGAUAAGUUGGAUGUGUUGGUAUCCCCAAAUGUUGGUAGAUCUACAGAAGAGACUGCCCUUGCUCCAGGAACACCUGUUGAUCACUCGACAUCUGCUAUAUUGGAUGUGCCAGGAUCCCCAACUGUUGGUAGAUCUUCAGAUCAAACUGCAAUUGCUCCAGAAACACCUACUGAUCACCCAGCAUCAACAAGAUUGUGCAGGGGUCCCAGGAGCUUGCAUAGAUGGGGAUCCAUGAGUUCAUCUGAAAGUGUAGAUAGAGAGUCAUUUUCAGCUGUAGAUGAAGACUGUUGUCUUGAUCUUAUGAGUGAGGAUAUAUCUUCCUGUGAAGGGCAUUCAUGUGAGCAAGAUUAUGGGGAACUAUAUGGGUGGUCAGUGAGAACCAGAGCAGUGGCAGGAUACCUGCGCAGAAGCUUUCUGAAUCGAAGAAAACAGAGAAAGGAGGAGGUUGUCAGCUUGUUGCGGGUUCUGAAAGGAAGAACGAAGGAAGAAAGUGCAAGGGUAUUCUAUGAGAUUCUGGUUUUGAAAACUGAAGGGUAUGUAGGUGUGACGCAAGAUAAUGCCUAUGAUGACAUCCUUGUGCUGGGCCUCCCCAGAUCAUAGAACUGUUGUAGAAGGAUUGGUGCAUAAGCCAGUGGAGGAGCAAUGGUUGUUGGCUCGUCUCUGUAUUUAAUAGAUGGCAAUGGACUGCCUUUUUUUUAAGGGAAUGGAAGAGCUAAGAGCUAAAGAAGACAAACAAAAGAUGCUUGCCCAUCAAACAUUUACUUCAUACUGGGAUUAUUAGGAUGUGGAAAACACAAUUCACUUAAAAGGGGGCAUCAACUUCACUUCGGGUUACCAAGAAAGACUUGAGCCAGUCCACGGACUUCUUGGGGAUCCGCUUCAAAUUGUUGAGGUAAUCUGUGUAGUAAAGCCCGAACCGGACCUUGUAACCCAUAUUCAUUUCCAUGCAGUCCAUCAGAGACCACAUGAAGUACCCCUGAACAUCUGCCCCUUGCCUGUACAGGAAAACCAAAUGAUCCUUAGUAGUACAUUCAAAUGGCCACAUAGAGCAAGGAUCGAUCCAUGAUAUUGUCCUGAACAACUUCCUGGCUUCUGAAAUAGCUGAUAGAUGGCUGAGAAUGUGUUGAAUUCUGGCAUCAUCCUGCAGGGCAUUCUCCACUGAGAUAGCAUUGCCCCAUUUCUCUGGAUAACCUGUUGGAAACGGGUUUCAGAACAGGUCAUUCGGUCAUUGAAAGAUCUUUCCUUCAAACACCCAGAACAUAUGACAAUUUUUGAACCAAAACUGCAUAAUUUAGGCUUUUAGCAUCAGAAGAUGCUAUCGACAAACACGGUCAUACAAUAAGACUAAACUAUGUGCAAACUAGCACUCACCAUU
Molecule: RNA transcript, 3019 nt
Organism: Malania oleifera
Lineage: Eukaryota; Viridiplantae; Streptophyta; Magnoliopsida; Santalales; Ximeniaceae
Gene name: sister chromatid cohesion 1 protein 2
Exons: 15
Source: RefSeq, a predicted model, not a curated record